This 1522-nucleotide ribosomal RNA is filed under the name metagenome. RNAcentral describes it as "bacterial SSU rRNA". It matches the Rfam family "Bacterial small subunit ribosomal RNA". The record is from RNAcentral.
AGAGUUUGAUCAUGGCUCAGAUUGAACGCUGGCGGCAGGCCUAACACAUGCAAGUCGAACGGUAACAGGAAGAAGCUUGCUUCUUUGCUGACGAGUGGCGGACGGGUGAGUAAUGUCUGGGAAACUGCCUGAUGGAGGGGGAUAACUACUGGAAACGGUAGCUAAUACCGCAUAACGUCGCAAGACCAAAGAGGGGGACCUUCGGGCCUCUUGCCAUCGGAUGUGCCCAGAUGGGAUUAGCUAGUAGGUGGGGUAACGGCUCACCUAGGCGACGAUCCCUAGCUGGUCUGAGAGGAUGACCAGCCACACUGGAACUGAGACACGGUCCAGACUCCUACGGGAGGCAGCAGUGGGGAAUAUUGCACAAUGGGCGCAAGCCUGAUGCAGCCAUGCCGCGUGUAUGAAGAAGGCCUUCGGGUUGUAAAGUACUUUCAGCGGGGAGGAAGGGAGUAAAGUUAAUACCUUUGCUCAUUGACGUUACCCGCAGAAGAAGCACCGGCUAACUCCGUGCCAGCAGCCGCGGUAAUACGGAGGGUGCGAGCGUUAAUCGGAAUUACUGGGCGUAAAGCGCACGCAGGCGGUUUGUUAAGUCAGAUGUGAAAUCCCCGGGCUCAACCUGGGAACUGCAUCUGAUACUGGCAAGCUUGAGUCUCGUAGAGGGGGGUAGAAUUCCAGGUGUAGCGGUGAAAUGCGUAGAGAUCUGGAGGAAUACCGGUGGCGAAGGCGGCCCCCUGGACGAAGACUGACGCUCAGGUGCGAAAGCGUGGGGAGCAAACAGGAUUAGAUACCCUGGUAGUCCACGCCGUAAACGAUGUCGACUUGGAGGUUGUGCCCUUGAGGCGUGGCUUCCGGAGCUAACGCGUUAAGUCGACCGCCUGGGGAGUACGGCCGCAAGGUUAAAACUCAAAUGAAUUGACGGGGGCCCGCACAAGCGGUGGAGCAUGUGGUUUAAUUCGAUGCAACGCGAAGAACCUUACCUGGUCUUGACAUCCACGGAAGUUUUCAGAGAUGAGAAUGUGCCUUCGGGAACCGUGAGACAGGUGCUGCAUGGCUGUCGUCAGCUCGUGUUGUGAAAUGUUGGGUUAAGUCCCGCAACGAGCGCAACCCUUGUCCUUUGUUGCCAGCGGUCCGGCCGGGAACUCAAAGGAGACUGCCAGUGAUAAACUGGAGGAAGGUGGGGAUGACGUCAAGUCAUCAUGCCCCUUACGACCAGGGCUACACACGUGCUACAAUGGCGCAUACAAAGAGAAGCGACCUCGCGAGAGCAAGCGGACCUCAUAAAGUGCGUCGUAGUCCGGAUUGGAGUCUGCAACUCGACUCCAUGAAGUCGGAAUCGCUAGUAAUCGUGGAUCAGAAUGCCACGGUGAAUACGUUCCCGGGCCUUGUACACACCGCCCGUCACACCAUGGGAGUGGGUUGCAAAAGAAGUAGGUAGCUUAACCUUCGGGAGGGCGCUUACCACUUUGUGAUUCAUGACUGGGGUGAAGUCGAAACAAGGUAACCGUAGGGGAACCUGCGGUUG